CCCUUAGAUGUUCUGGGCCGCACGCGCGCUACACUGAUGCAUUCAACAAGCCUAGCCUUGACCGAGAGGUCCGGGUAAUCUUUGAAACUGCAUCGUGAUGGGGCUAGAUUAUUGCAAUUAUUAAUCUUCAACGAGGAAUGCCUAGUAAGCGUGAUUCAUCAAAUCGCGUUGAUUACGUCCCUGCCCUUUGUACACACCGCCCGUCGCUCCUACCGAUUGAAUGUGUUGGUGAGGAGCUCGGAUUGGCAGCAGUUGGUGGUUCGUCACCGGCUAUUGCUGAGAAGUCCUCCAAACCGCCCCAUUUAGAGGAAGGAGAAGUCGUAACA
Molecule: ribosomal RNA, 326 nt
Filed under: uncultured eukaryote
Lineage: Eukaryota
Description: partial 18S ribosomal RNA
Rfam family: Eukaryotic small subunit ribosomal RNA
Source: RNAcentral